This is a long non-coding RNA of Homo sapiens (human), 850 nucleotides long. The record is from Ensembl. Lineage: Eukaryota; Metazoa; Chordata; Mammalia; Primates; Hominidae.
GAUCUCUUUUGAAAUAUACUGUUAGUACAAUCGAUGGUUGGCAUCACAAAUUGAAGAUUACGGCAGAUGAAAUACCCAUACGCCUUAAGUGUUAUAAAUUCCAACCACAAAGAGUUUCUGAAAGGAAUUGCUACUACUAACAUACUCUGCAAGAAAUCCUGACUUCAGGAUUAUUAUUGUUGCAGAUGUAAUUAAAAUGAGGUUAUAAUAAAUUAGAGUAAGCCCUUAACUCAAAACAAUUGGUGCCAUUAUAAGAGGAUGACCAUGUGAAGACACAGACACACAGAAAAAACACCAUGUGGUGACUGAAGCAGAGAUUGGUGUAAUGCAACUACAAGUCAACAAGCAACUAUGAUUGACGGCCACCACCAAGGCUAGGAAGAGGAGAGAAAAAUAUAUAUAUCUCAAGAAAGAAAAAAUCCAGCACCUACGGCAUAAUGUAAGGAGAGAAUGCUCCAGCAAAAUCUAACUUGCACAAUAAAUCUGUUCUGUCAGAUCCUUGACCGGUAUGUUUAUGUUGACCUCUUUCCGUUUGAAGAGAGAGGAAAGAAACUGGUGUUGAUCAAAGGUUACAGCAGAAUAAAAAAUAUACUGGGACACGAAAUUGUGACAUGUAUUUCCCCCACCAGUCAGGACUCUAUGUUCAAUAUUUUUAUUUCAUUAUGCUUACAAAAGCAAAUGAAUGUCCCUUUGUAUUUCCUUAAGAAUGAAAAGAUGAAUGUUUCUUUCUUUGCAAGUUCCAUGGAAGCUAAGAACCUUAAUACUAUAAACAUUUUAAUGCUUGAUAAUGGUUCUGUCUUCAAAAUGCAAAACGUUUUAUUCUGACAAAUAAAAACUCUAAAAAAAUGAA